UACAGAGGUCUCAAGCGUUGUUCGGAUUCAUUGGGCGUAAAGGGUGUGUAGGUGGCGCCGUAAGUCGGGUGUGAAAUUUCGGAGCUUAACUCCGAAACUGCACUCGAUACUGCGGUGCUUGAGGACUGGAGAGGAGACUGGAAUUUACGGUGUAGCGGUGAAAUGCGUAGAUAUCGUAAGGAAGACCAGUGGCGAAGGCGGGUCUCUGGACAGUUCCUGACGCUGAGGCACGAAGGCCAGGGGAGCAAACGGG
This 253-nucleotide ribosomal RNA is filed under the name uncultured bacterium. RNAcentral describes it as "partial 16S ribosomal RNA". It matches the Rfam family "Bacterial small subunit ribosomal RNA", at positions 524 to 776 of the family's 1533-position model. The record is from RNAcentral.